RNAcentral lists this small RNA (110 nucleotides) under uncultured Treponema sp. Its description in RNAcentral is "drum RNA". It matches the Rfam family "drum RNA". Rfam says of the family: Firmicutes, Bacteroidetes (1 example), Proteobacteria (2 examples), Spirochaetes (2 examples). Terminator (Clostridia) Lineage: Bacteria; Pseudomonadati; Spirochaetota; Spirochaetia; Treponematales; Treponemataceae. The record is from RNAcentral.
GGCGUUGAAGUAAGGCGUUGUGCUGGGAUGCAGUUCCUUACCUAGCCUUUCGGAGGGGUUGUGCAGUAAACCUCGACCCAGCGUAGGCGAAAGCCGAAAGAAAAUGCUCA